Molecule: non-coding RNA, 82 nt
Organism: Solea solea (common sole)
Lineage: Eukaryota; Metazoa; Chordata; Actinopteri; Pleuronectiformes; Soleidae
Source: the annotation of a RefSeq genome assembly
GCUGUGAUGGCCGAGUGGUUAAGGCGUUGGGCUCGAAAUCCAAUGGGGUUACCCCGCGCAGGUUCAAACCCUGCUCACAGCG